This 510-nucleotide ribosomal RNA is filed under the name Lactiplantibacillus plantarum. Its description in RNAcentral is "bacterial SSU rRNA". It matches the Rfam family "Bacterial small subunit ribosomal RNA", at positions 45 to 523 of the family's 1533-position model. The record is from RNAcentral. Lineage: Bacteria; Bacillati; Bacillota; Bacilli; Lactobacillales; Lactobacillaceae.
UGCUAUACAUGCAGUCGAACGAACUCUGGUAUUGAUUGGUGCUUGCAUCAUGAUUUACAUUUGAGUGAGUGGCGAACUGGUGAGUAACACGUGGGAAACCUGCCCAGAAGCGGGGGAUAACACCUGGAAACAGAUGCUAAUACCGCAUAACAACUUGGACCGCAUGGUCCGAGUUUGAAAGAUGGCUUCGGCUAUCACUUUUGGAUGGUCCCGCGGCGUAUUAGCUAGAUGGUGGGGUAACGGCUCACCAUGGCAAUGAUACGUAGCCGACCUGAGAGGGUAAUCGGCCACAUUGGGACUGAGACACGGCCCAAACUCCUACGGGAGGCAGCAGUAGGGAAUCUUCCACAAUGGACGAAAGUCUGAUGGAGCAACGCCGCGUGAGUGAAGAAGGGUUUCGGCUCGUAAAACUCUGUUGUUAAAGAAGAACAUAUCUGAGAGUAACUGUUCAGGUAUUGACGGUAUUUAACCAGAAAGCCACGGCUAACUACGUGCCAGCAGCCGCGGUAA